This 374-nucleotide long non-coding RNA is filed under the name Bos taurus (domestic cattle). RNAcentral describes it as "long non-coding RNA NONBTAT000117". The record is from RNAcentral. Lineage: Eukaryota; Metazoa; Chordata; Mammalia; Artiodactyla; Bovidae.
GUUAUCUAAGAAAUGAGUGGUCACCUUCAUCUACCACCUUUGCAUGUCAAAAAAUGGAAGGUAUAUUUGAGAAUUUUGAGUUUGGUCUUAACGUGUCUUUGUGAAAGACAUUGUUAACCUGUCCUUUGUUAAGUUGUGCUUAUUCAACUUAAUGGGAUAACAAUAUGUGAUUGUCAAGAGGGAAUUCUUAAAGCAAAAGAAAAAUGUAAUAGGUAAAGAAAUUUAUCUAACAUAUAAAUCAUUGUAAAUGUAAAACUAUUUAGAUUAGUAACAGAAAUUUCAUGCACAUAUAUAUGCAUAUACAUGUAAUGGAAUAUUGUCAGAAAAAAGUUAUGUGAAAAAAUAAUUUUUCAUUGCCAAACUACUUUUGCAUG